UAGUGUUCAUACCUACUAUUACUUUGUUCCUACCGAUCAGUAUUGUCCCUAACCUUAAAUAUGUGUGUAUGCAUAUUUAUGUAUGUAGUUCAUGAAAAGAUGACUAUAAAAGCGAUGGAAAUCCGUCGAAGAUCGCAUUCGAAUCAAGCACAUCACAUCAUACACUUCCUGUACAUUCAAUAUUUUUGAAAGUCCUUCCAAGAAUCGAAUCAAGCACAUCACAUCAUACACUUUGAUAUCCCUUACUCCACAUUCAAUAUUUUUGAACGUCCUUUUAAGAGACGAUCGUAACCAAUGGCUUUCAUCAGCACUGGUUUUGGCAGCAGUGGGGUCAUCGCCAAGAUGUCGGCCUGGUUGGGCGUCUGGCCGAAACGAGGUUCUGAUGACAGCUAUCCACCACCCCCAUGCCGAGGGUGCGGCCAAACCUCGCACUGUACGUGCAAAUAAAUGUACGAGGAGCAAAUGUAGAAUUUCAUAGCAAUUUGUUAUUCUUGAACUGAAAAUUUGAUCUUUAAUUUUAAUUUUCAAAAUGCAUACAUUUAAAUUUUUUACACUCUAAAUUCUUAUAAAAGUGACGCUAUAAGAAGACGAAAGAAAUGUAAUAAUAAUAAAAAUACAUAUUUUUUAAA
Molecule: long non-coding RNA, 629 nt
Organism: Folsomia candida
Lineage: Eukaryota; Metazoa; Arthropoda; Collembola; Entomobryomorpha; Isotomidae
Exons: 3
Source: RefSeq, a predicted model, not a curated record